This is a long non-coding RNA of Chinchilla lanigera (long-tailed chinchilla), 374 nucleotides long. RefSeq lists it as uncharacterized. The record is from RefSeq and is a predicted model, not a curated record. Lineage: Eukaryota; Metazoa; Chordata; Mammalia; Rodentia; Chinchillidae. The transcript is spliced from 2 exons.
AAAGCACCAUGGCGGCUCCAUGGGUGCUAGAGAUACAUGGGAAGGGGCUCCCCCGUGUCUGCCCCAGUGGUGGAGAAAGCUCAGGCUUUCUUUAAUGGAGUCAUCAGAUCUGACAAGGGCUGAGCAAUCUGCCGUGGAGUGGACCCCAGCCUCUGGCUUGUCCUAGGCCAAGUAGUACAGUAGUUUCCCAGUAGUGGUUGGACAGCAGAGGGCCAAACAAUGCCUAAGAAUCCAGUAAAAGUCAAAGUGGGGCAAGCCCCAUGCAUGGUCCUGGGACUCAAGAACAACGCAAGGAGACAGUAGAAAAGACAAGAAAUAAGGAAAACAAUUCUGUCAAAUGUCAAGAUGGGCGAAUAAAGCUGUCUCGGUUUGUU